GAGUAAGACCAAGCGGCGGACGGGUGAGUAACGCGUGGGUAACCUGCCCUAUACACAUGGAUAACAUACUGAAAAGUUUACUAAUACAUGAUAAUAUAUAUUUACGGCAUCGUAGAUAUAUCAAAGUGUUAGCGGUAUAGGAUGGACCCGCGUCUGAUUAGCUAGUUGGUGAGAUAACUGCCCACCAAGGCGACGAUCAGUAGCCGACCUGAGAGGGUGAUCGGCCACAUUGGAACUGAGACACGGUCCAAACUCCUACGGGAGGCAGCAGUGGGGAAUAUUGCACAAUGGGCGCAAGCCUGAUGCAGCAACGCCGCGUGAACGAUGAAGGUCUUCGGAUCGUAAAGUUCUGUUGCAGGGGAAGAUAAUGACGGUACCCUGUGAGGAAGCCCCGGCUAACUACGUGCCAGCAGCCGCGGUAAUACGUAGGGGGCUAGCGUUAUCCGGAUUUACUGGGCGUAAAGGGUGCGUAGGUGGUCUUUCAAGUCGGUGGUUAAAGGCUACGGCUCAACCGUAGUUAGCCUCCGAAACUGGAAGACUUGAGUGCAGGAGAGGAAAGUGGAAUUCCCAGUGUAGCGGUGAAAUGCGUAGAUAUUGGGAGGAACACCAGUAGCGAAGGCGGCUUUCUGGACUGCAACUGACACUGAGGCACGAAAGCGUGGGUAGCAAACAGGAUUAGAUACCCUGGUAGUCCACGCUGUAAACGAUGAGUACUAGGUGUCGGGGGUUACCCCCCUCGGUGCCGCAGCUAACGCAUUAAGUACUCCGCCUGGGGAGUACGCACGCAAGUGUGAAACUCAAAGGAAUUGACGGGGACCCGCACAAGUAGCGGAGCAUGUGGUUUAAUUCGAAGCAACGCGAAGAACCUUACCUAAGCUUGACAUCCCUUAGACCGGUGUUUAAUCACACCUUCCCUUCGGGGCUGAGGUGACAGGUGGUGCAUGGUUGUCGUCAGCUCGUGUCGUGAGAUGUUGGGUUAAGUCCCGCAACGAGCGCAACCCUUGUCUUUAGUUACCAGCAUUCAGUUGGGCACUCUAGAGAGACUGCCAGGGAUAACCUGGAGGAAGGUGGGGAUGACGUCAAAUCAUCAUGCCCCUUAUGCUUAGGGCUACACACGUGCUACAAUGGGUGGUACAGAGGGUUGCCAAACCGUGAGGUGGAGCUAAUCCCUUAAAGCCAUUCUCAGUUCGGAUUGUAGGCUGAAACUCGCCUACAUGAAGCUGGAGUUACUAGUAAUCGCAGAUCAGAAUGCUGCGGUGAAUGCGUUCCCGGGUCU
Molecule: ribosomal RNA, 1276 nt
Filed under: uncultured bacterium
Lineage: Bacteria
Description: bacterial SSU rRNA
Rfam family: Bacterial small subunit ribosomal RNA
Source: RNAcentral